ACAACAAUGUGCCUUACUACCAUUGAUAAUAACAAUGCUGUGUACCUGCUAAUUUCUUUGAAGUUGUUUUAAACAAAGUAACUCAUAACUAAAUACUUUAUUUAUAAUAAUGUCAUUCCACUUCGAAAUUAUAAAUAACGAUUCAAUUAGGUACACAAAAAGCUCAAGAAAAUCAUUGACAGCAUAAAAACGUUCAACUCAUUUAGUCGCACAUAAUUGUUUUAAUGAUUUUUUAGUUAUACAUUUUUGACUUUCUUCGAUUUGACUUUUCAACACAUCUUUUCGCUUUGGAAGAUGAAUAAGAAAUAGCAAGGUUUAAAACAUGAACAGCACAAUGAACAAACGUCGCAAGCGGAUAACUUUGGUGAAUAAGAGAUUGAGCUCCGUUAAAUUGACCAGACAUAGAAGCACAUCCAUCGUAACACUGUCCUCUAAGUAUCUGUUGUAGGCACAAACUGAAGAAUUCUUCCUUGAUAAUCAUAUUUUCAACAUCUAAAUAUCGAACACACAAGGUUACUUGUUCGCUUCCACCAAUAUUUCUCUAAAAUUUCCUUGAUUUUCUUGGAUAAUUUGUCAUUUUCAUUGAAGUUACAAAGAUAGCCGUUAUUGUCAAAAAAA
This is a long non-coding RNA of Daktulosphaira vitifoliae (grape phylloxera), 618 nucleotides long. RefSeq lists it as uncharacterized. The transcript has 4 exons. The record is from RefSeq and is a predicted model, not a curated record. Lineage: Eukaryota; Metazoa; Arthropoda; Insecta; Hemiptera; Phylloxeridae.